Molecule: long non-coding RNA, 722 nt
Organism: Balaenoptera ricei (Rice's whale)
Lineage: Eukaryota; Metazoa; Chordata; Mammalia; Artiodactyla; Balaenopteridae
Exons: 3
Source: RefSeq, a predicted model, not a curated record
CCUCAGGCACUGGAAAGGGAAAGGGGUACCACCCCCCAGGGAACAAUGGGCAUCUGAGAAGCUCAGCUACUUCACCAUCAAACAGGCACCGUGCUGGCUUGGCCUCAGUUUCCCCUCUAUCUUAGAUACCUGGCUCACCCCGCACCCAGGCCACACACACCUCCAGUCUAGGGGAGAAGCAUCAGUCGGGACACAGGACACACCCUGAGACCCACCCACUCUGCACCAGCCUGGCUCAGGCACCAGGCCGGGCGGUGGCCGCCUCCAGCUCACCACUUUCAAGGCCGCACUUCCGGGCCCCAACGCCGGCGGAACCAAAGUCCGCCGCUGUAGCGGCGCGGCGAACCACUAGGUCAGAGCAAGUUUCCGGUGUCUCCAUGGAGACUAGUCGCCGCUGCAAGGUCGCACUUCCGGCCAAAGUCGCAGGGGCUGGGACAACCAGGCAGUGUCGCCCUAGAGACGGGGCGGGGGCGGAUCCUGUGCUGUCAAUCUGUGGGCCGCGCCCACUCGCCUGUGCUGCGGGGCGGAAGAAGGGAUCAAUCCUGUGCCCCCUGCAUUGGAAGCAUGGAGUCCUAACCGCUGGACCGCCAGGGAAGUCAUCUGUGGAUUUUAGUAUAGUUGCAAUGUGGUGUAACCACCACCUCCAUUUAGUUCCAAAACAUUUUCCUCACUCCAGUAGCUCCUCAUUUUCCCCUCCCUCCAGCCCCUGGCAAUGAAUAAUC